RNAcentral lists this ribosomal RNA (468 nucleotides) under uncultured bacterium. RNAcentral describes it as "partial 16S ribosomal RNA". It matches the Rfam family "Bacterial small subunit ribosomal RNA", at positions 28 to 507 of the family's 1533-position model. The record is from RNAcentral.
GACGAACGCUGGCGGCGUGCUUAACACAUGCAAGUCGAACGGAAAGGCCCUGCUUUUGUGGGGUGCUCGAGUGGCGAACGGGUGAGUAACACGUGAGUAACCUGCCCUUGACUUUGGGAUAACUUCAGGAAACUGGGGCUAAUACCGGAUAGGAGCUCCUGCUGCAUGGUGGGGGUUGGAAAGUUUCGGCGGUUGGGGAUGGACUCGCGGCUUAUCAGCUUGUUGGUGGGGUAGUGGCUUACCAAGGCUUUGACGGGUAGCCGGCCUGAGAGGGUGACCGGCCACAUUGGGACUGAGAUACGGCCCAGACUCCUACGUGAGGCAGCAGUGGGGAAUAUUGCACAAUGGGCGGAAGCCUGAUGCAGCAACGCCGCGUUCGGGAUGACGUCCUUCGGGUUGUAAACCGCUUUCGCCUGUGACGAAGCGUGAGUGACGGUAAUGGGUAAAGAAGCACCGGCUAACUACGUG